Molecule: long non-coding RNA, 494 nt
Organism: Zingiber officinale
Lineage: Eukaryota; Viridiplantae; Streptophyta; Magnoliopsida; Zingiberales; Zingiberaceae
Exons: 2
Source: RefSeq, a predicted model, not a curated record
UAUUUUUUUUUCUCACCCGAACCUCUCCUUCUCUCUCGCGAACGGCGGCGGCGACUUCGCUGUUCGGGCGAAAAGGGCGACGGAGCUAGGCUUUUUCCGGCCGGUCUUCACCUGUGUGUGACCACCAUCGUUGAGGAGAGUCUGUGAGCAUGAAGAAGAGCCGAAAUCCAAGCUAUCCGAAACCCUAGCAGCAUUAGAAGCUCCUCCUUUUCGGUUGUAAGUCCAAGAACAGCGAUAUAAAGGUAAAGAUAAAGGAAAAACUAAAGUAUGAAAGGAAGGCGACAAGGAGCUGAUGGAGGUGUGAUGUGUGGACUAUGGAAGCCUUGGGACUAAGUUUUAGAAAUCUAUAAAGACUUGUAUUUAGACUAUUGGAGUUUUUGCCACCAUGUGAUGAUUUGGUUUAGCUUCUUAGAUGUUUUAUGUUUUAUAUUUAUUAGAACUGCGUGGUUGUUUGUUUAAUAUGAUUGUUAUAUAUGUAUCCAUGAUUAUUGUCA